UGCACAACCAUGCCUUCCUGAAUGCAUCCAAUCUCAUCUCAUCUCGGAAGCUAAGCAGGUCAGACAUGGUUUGAAGUUGAAUGAAGCAAGUACUAGGGGUGGCUACAA
Molecule: ribosomal RNA, 108 nt
Filed under: Chinchilla lanigera (long-tailed chinchilla)
Lineage: Eukaryota; Metazoa; Chordata; Mammalia; Rodentia; Chinchillidae
Source: RNAcentral